CCUACGGGAGGCAGCAGUAGGGAAUCUUUCACAAUGGGCGAAAGCCUGAUGGAGCAACGCCGCGUGCAGGAUGAAGGCCUUCGGGUUGUAAACUGCUUUUAUAAGCGAGAAAUAUGAUGGUAACUUAUGAAUAAGGAUCGGCUAACUACGUGCCAGCAGCCGCGGUCAUACGUAGGAUCCGAGCAUUAUCCGGAGUGACUGGGUGUAAAGAGUUGCGUAGGUGGCAUAAUAAGUAGCUAGUGAAAUCGGGUGGCUCAACCAUUCAGACUAUUAGUUAAACUGUUAAGCUCGAGACCGUUAGGGGUAACUGGAAUUUCUAGUGUAGGAGUGAAAUCCGUAGAUAUUAGAAGGAACACCAAUAGCGUAGGCAGGUUACUGGGACGGUUCUGACACUAAGGCACGAAAGCGUAGGGAGCAAACGGGAUUAGAUACCCUUGUAGUC
This 442-nucleotide ribosomal RNA is filed under the name uncultured bacterium. RNAcentral describes it as "partial 16S ribosomal RNA". It matches the Rfam family "Bacterial small subunit ribosomal RNA", at positions 338 to 795 of the family's 1533-position model. The record is from RNAcentral.